ACGAACGCUGGCGGCGUGCUUAACACAUGCAAGUCGAACGGUGAAGCGCCUUCCUUUUUGGUGGGUGUGGAUGAGUGGCGAACGGGUGAGUAACACGUGAGUAACCUGCCCCCUUCUUCUGGAUAACCGCAUGAAAGUGUGGCUAAUACGGGAUAUUCUGGGUCUGUCGCAUGAUGGGUCUGGGAAAGAUAUUGUUUCGGUGGGGGAUGGGCUCGCGGCCUAUCAGCUUGUUGGUGGGGUGAUGGCCUACCAAGGCGGUGACGGGUAGCCGGCCUGAGAGGGUGGACGGUCACACUGGGACUGAGACACGGCCCAGACUCCUACGGGAGGCAGCAGUGGGGAAUAUUGCACAAUGGGCGAAAGCCUGAUGCAGCGACGCCGCGUGAGGGAUGGAGGCCUUCGGGUUGUGAACCUCUUUCGCCAGUGAAGCAGGCCUGCCUCGUUUGUGGGUGGGUUGACGGUAGCUGGAGAAGAAGCGCCGGCUAACUACGUG
This 493-nucleotide ribosomal RNA is filed under the name uncultured bacterium. Its description in RNAcentral is "partial 16S ribosomal RNA". It matches the Rfam family "Bacterial small subunit ribosomal RNA", at positions 29 to 507 of the family's 1533-position model. The record is from RNAcentral.